This 76-nucleotide transfer RNA is filed under the name Escherichia phage JLBYU43. RNAcentral's name for it is "tRNA-Val". It matches the Rfam family "tRNA". From Rfam's summary of the family: Transfer RNA (tRNA) molecules are approximately 80 nucleotides in length. Their secondary structure includes four short double-helical elements and three loops (D, anti-codon, and T loops). Lineage: Duplodnaviria; Heunggongvirae; Uroviricota; Caudoviricetes; Demerecviridae. The record is from RNAcentral.
UGCUCGGUUAGUUUAAUGGGAGAACCCCGUCUUUACACGGCGGUUGCGAUAGUUCGAUUCUAUCACCGAGUACCAA